UAUUUUUAGUAAGUGAAAUAUUUUAAGUUGCACUAUUUCAUUUCUGUGAGUAAAAAAAAUUCUUGAAGUUAAGCAUCCUGACUCUGUCUGCAGGAGGAAUGUUUCUUGAACCUAGAGGCUCCUAUAUCAAGAGUAUGUGGUUAUGACACACCAUUUCCUCACAUUUUUGAACCAUUCUACAUCCCAGACAAAUGGAAGUGUUAUGAUGCCCUUCGAAAAAUGAUCAACUAUUGACCAUAUAGAAAAGCUGGAAGAUUUUGACUAGAUAUGGAAAUAUUUUUUUCUGAAUUUUUUUUUAUAUUUCCUCCGACUUACCUCUUUUUGAAAAGAGAGUUUUUAUUAAGUGAACCAUCAUGAUAUUGGCUGAAAAGUUCUACAUUCUAUUAUUAUAUUGUAACACACAUGUAUUGAUGAUUUUCAUUAAGAGUUUCAGAUUAACUUUGAAAAAUAUUCCACAUGGUAAUCUUAUAAAUUCUGUUUAAUUACAUCCGUAAAUAUUAUGUGUGUGAUAGUAUUCAAUAAA
Molecule: small RNA, 523 nt
Filed under: Pan troglodytes (chimpanzee)
Lineage: Eukaryota; Metazoa; Chordata; Mammalia; Primates; Hominidae
Description: retained intron
Source: RNAcentral